This 497-nucleotide ribosomal RNA is filed under the name uncultured bacterium. RNAcentral describes it as "partial 16S ribosomal RNA". It matches the Rfam family "Bacterial small subunit ribosomal RNA", at positions 28 to 507 of the family's 1533-position model. The record is from RNAcentral.
GAUGAACGCUGGCGGCGUGCCUAAUACAUGCAAGUCGAGCGAACAGACGAGGAGCUUGCUCCUCUGACGUUAGCGGCGGACGGGUGAGUAACACGUGGAUAACCUACCUAUAAGACUGGGAUAACUUCGGGAAACCGGAGCUAAUACCGGAUAAUAUAUUGAACCGCAUGGUUCAAUAGUGAAAGACGGUUUUGCUGUCACUUAUAGAUGGAUCCGCGCCGCAUUAGCUAGUUGGUAAGGUAACGGCUUACCAAGGCAACGAUGCGUAGCCGACCUGAGAGGGUGAACGGCCACACUGGAAAUGAGACACGGUCAAGACUACUACGGGAGGCAGCAGUAGGGAAUCGUCCGCAAUGGGCGAAAGCCGGACGGAGCAACGCCGCGUGAGUGAUGAAGGUCUUCGGAUCGUAAAACUCUGUUAUUAGGGAAGAACAAAUGUGUAAGUAACUAUGCACGUCUUGACGGUACCUAAUCAGAAAGCAACGGCUAACUACGUG